This is a non-coding RNA of Lepisosteus oculatus (spotted gar), 90 nucleotides long. The record is from Rfam. NCBI's taxonomy places the organism in Eukaryota, Metazoa, Chordata, Actinopteri, Semionotiformes, Lepisosteidae.
UCGUCCCGCUGUGCUCUAUGGCUUUUUAUUCCUAUCUGACGGCUCUGGAGGCUCAUAUAGGGAUGGAAGCCAUGCAGCACGGUGGGGCCC